RNAcentral lists this long non-coding RNA (296 nucleotides) under Populus tremula. Its description in RNAcentral is "long non-coding RNA (PTRE_LNC000111)". Lineage: Eukaryota; Viridiplantae; Streptophyta; Magnoliopsida; Malpighiales; Salicaceae. The record is from RNAcentral.
GUCGCACGUGUGCGGCGGCGCGGCGAUCGUCCACCCUCAAGGAAAAAAAAAAUCGGAAUAUUUAUUCCCGACAAAAAAAGGAGAGACAAGGAAUUCUUGUCUCUAUAAGUGAAAAUAUGGACUGGGAGUCGCCACCUAGUAUUCUGGUUACUAGGAACCUUAACUGGUCUUUAGAGAUCGGGUACGGAGACUAGUUGCGUAAAGGGAAGGUAUUAGCACCCCAACUACGCCCUACCUAAGGUAGGCUGCAUUGUUUUAAUGUCUGAUAACAUCUAAGGUCGUGUUUUAUUGUUCGG